CCUACGGGAGGCAGCAGUGAGGAAUAUUGGUCAAUGGGCGGAAGCCUGAACCAGCCAAGUCGCGUGAGGGAAUAAGGCCCUACGGGUCGUAAACCUCUUUUGCCGGGGAGCAAGGGCGGGGACGUGUCCCGGCCCGGAGAGUACCCGGAGAAAAAGCAUCGGCUAACUCCGUGCCGGCAGCGGCGGUAAAACGGAGGUUGCGAGGGUUAUCCGGAUUUAUUGGGUUUAAAGGGUGCGUAGGCGGGCUUUUAGUUCAGCGUUAAAAAUUUGGGGCUAACCCCCGUCCGGUAGUUGAAACUGGGGGCCUUGAGUGGGCGAGAGGAAGGCGGAAUGCGUGGUGUAGCGGUGAAAUGCAUAGAUAUCACGAAGAACCCCGAUUGCGAAGGCAGCCUUCCGGCGUCUUACUGACGCUGAGGCACGAAAGUGCGGGGAUCGAACAGGAUUAGAUACCCUGGUAGUC
This 460-nucleotide ribosomal RNA is filed under the name uncultured bacterium. RNAcentral describes it as "partial 16S ribosomal RNA". It matches the Rfam family "Bacterial small subunit ribosomal RNA", at positions 338 to 795 of the family's 1533-position model. The record is from RNAcentral.